Molecule: long non-coding RNA, 915 nt
Filed under: Anser brachyrhynchus (Pink-footed goose)
Lineage: Eukaryota; Metazoa; Chordata; Aves; Anseriformes; Anatidae
Description: lncRNA (ENSABRG00000005959.1)
Source: RNAcentral
AAAGCCCUAGAGGGCUUUUGGGACAGGGAAGGGUGGGUUCCUUACGUGAGUGCUGCUUGGCUUCCUUCAACCCUCUGCUGCUGCAGCUCCUGCGUGCCUUGCACACCCAGGGCCUCUCCUCUCUGCCUCUGGGCAGGCUUUGCUGCUUGUGCAGCGGUGCGUGGGGCAGCCAGGUCCCCAGGGAGCAGGCCAAAGGAGGCUCCAGCAGCAGCGAGCUCUGACCUCGGUGCCCUGAGCCUCUCGCAGUUUUGUCUGACUGGUGAUGGAGCAGGAGGUUUGUGUGCCAGGCAGCUGCCCAGCACCGGGAGCACCGUGGGACUCUGCAUCGCCCACCGGGGGCUUCCAGGUUUCCAUGGAGAACUCUGGAAUCAAAAAUUGUCCUGCGUCAACUCAUUUUCUGGUGUACCUACGUGAGUGCAGGUUCUUUACUCAGAGCAAGAGCUUUGCCUUGUGUACAGAAGGAGAAGGCAUCUCGGUUGCUUGCCGUGCAGCUUUUGGACACCUCAAGCAUGACGGUGCUGCAGCUUCCCCCAGCAGCGCUGGCAGCUCCUCGCCCCUCGCUGCAGCCGGUGCCACGGGCUUGGGAGCUGCUCCUGCCUCCCCCUGGGAAUCAGCGUCACCCGCAGGGGUGAUCUGCACGCUGGCUUGUCCAAGUCGUGCUCGCUUUGAGCCUGAGAUGCGUGCUUGUUAUCACUUGCCUGUCUCUAAUAAACUUAGAGGUGCUGAAAACCGAGCUGAGUGUGGAUUCUUCUAAUUGCAAGUCAUCGGCAAUUACCUCUGAGGAAAAGGCUUUGCUGUCCUUGCCAGUGUGAAUUGCACAGGCUUUCUGAAGGCACACACAGAGGCACAGUGCUUCUGCAGAACUGGGAUGGGGCUCUGCCUGCCAGCCACACCACGGUGCCUUUUGAUUAGAAG